UCAGCACUUAUUAUAGUAAGCGGAACAGCGCUACAUUAUUUCCUAGAUAAUGAUGAAUGUUUAUCAUGAAGGUCUAGUAAUACUAGUAGUCUAUAAUGGACACUUAAGUCAUUGUCCCGCUCCCACAAGGCAGUGGUUGCGUGCUACGCCGAGGCAAGUCUCUCUGCAUUUCCCUUCCGAGAUCAAGGGCAAGGCUUUCCAUAUUUGAAUAACUAGCAGAUGAUCGAUAUAGUGGUACCAUCAGCUACAAUUGCUCGAUUAUUGCUGCUACUGUCACAUCAGUUCACCAGAUUAAUAAACCUCCCAAUUUCACAUCGGUUAAUUGGGUGUGCUAGAGUAGCUAUGCGUCUGCAUCAGCUUUAAGUUACUUCUGAACACUACCACAUGCCUGCAGUUACUACUACCGCAAAAAAACACAAGUCGAGUGCCGUGUUUUCAGGUUUAGAUAAAGGAGGGUGUUAGGUUUCAGUUUGGGUUCACUCACGUGGUCUGACCAGGCGUGCUCCCUGUUGUAGAUGAUGGCCGCGCCGAGGCUCCUCGCCGGGUUGAUGCCGGUGCCGGUGAUGGGGAUGGUGGCCAGGUGGACCAGGAACACGGCGAACCCGAUGGGCAGCGGGGCGAGGAUCUGCCGUCGUUCCACGGGCAAUAAGUAGCCAUGCAUUAAUAACCAAGCACAGCACGGCAGUAAUUAAGGAAAUUCAACAGGGGAAGAAGAGAAGGGCAGUAAUGGUAUUGGUAGGUACUCACGGGAACGUGGGAGUCCCUGGCGUUCCUCUUGGCGUCGGUGGCGGAGAAGACGGUGUAGACGAGGACGAAGGUGCCGAUGAUCUCGGCGCCGAGCCCGGAGCCCUUGGUGUAGCCGGACGCCACCACGUUGGCGCCGCCGCCGUUGCCCAUGUACAGGCCCUGCUGGAACCCCUUGACCACGCCGGCGCCGCAGAUGGCGCCCAGGCACUGCAUGAUGAUGUAGAACACCGCCCUCGUCAGCGACAGCUUCCUCGCCAGGAACAGCCCGAAGGUCACCGCCGGGUUGAUGUGCCCGCCUGCAUCCCAAUCCCAUCCAUCCAUCCAUCCGUUAGCAGUCAGCAAAAACGGAAGAAGAAAAACACAGGAAAAGGCUACAGGAAUCAAGAAAAAACAGUACCAGAGAUGCCGGCGGUGCAGUAGACGAGGGCGAAGAUCAUGCCGCCGAAGGACCAGGCGAUGCCCUGGAUGCCGACGGUGGCGCACUUGGAGGCGGCGCCGCUGUAGCCCAUGACGGUGAGGAUGGUGACGUAGAGGAAGAGGAAGGUGGCCAUGAACUCGGCGAUGCCGGCGCGGUAGAAGGACCACGACUUGAGCUCGCCGGGCUCGAACAGCGGCGCCGGCGGGGGCUCCUUGUAGUCCUUGUCCUCGGACCCCUGCGCCGCCGUGCCGAUGGGCUGCCGCUCCGA
This 1433-nucleotide long non-coding RNA is filed under the name Hordeum vulgare. RNAcentral's name for it is "long non-coding RNA (HVUL_LNC005403)". The record is from RNAcentral. Lineage: Eukaryota; Viridiplantae; Streptophyta; Magnoliopsida; Poales; Poaceae.